This 172-nucleotide long non-coding RNA is filed under the name Felis catus (domestic cat). RNAcentral describes it as "lncRNA (ENSFCAG00000053370.1)". The record is from RNAcentral. Lineage: Eukaryota; Metazoa; Chordata; Mammalia; Carnivora; Felidae.
UCACUGGUCUGAUUUUCAUACUGCUAGAAUGCUUGCAUGGAAAUGCGUCACAUCAGUUAUGAACCUUUACAAUAAAACAUGACACCUGAAAUUCAGGAACAUGAUUCGCAAAGGAUUCAUUACUUUAUACAAAAAAAAAAUAUAUUUGUGGAGAGUGACUUAACACUGGGAA